AAAUUGAAGAGUUUGAUCAUGGCUCAGAUUGAACGCUGGCGGCAGGCCUAACACAUGCAAGUCGAACGGUAGCAUAGAGAGCUUGCUCUCGGGUGACGAGUGGCGGACGGGUGAGUAAUGUCUGGGAAACUGCCUGAUGGAGGGGGAUAACUACUGGAAACGGUGGCUAAUACCGCAUAACGUCGCAAGACCAAAGAGGGGGACCUUCGGGCCUCUUGCCAUCAGAUGUGCCCAGAUGGGAUUAGCUUGUUGGUGAGGUAACGGCUCACCAAGGCGACGAUCCCUAGCUGGUCUGAGAGGAUGACCAGCCACACUGGAACUGAGACACGGUCCAGACUCCUACGGGAGGCAGCAGUGGGGAAUAUUGCACAAUGGGCGCAAGCCUGAUGCAGCCAUGCCGCGUGUAUGAAGAAGGCCUUCGGGUUGUAAAGUACUUUCAGCGGGGAGGAAGGUGUUG
This 457-nucleotide ribosomal RNA is filed under the name Salmonella enterica. RNAcentral describes it as "bacterial SSU rRNA". It matches the Rfam family "Bacterial small subunit ribosomal RNA", at positions 1 to 456 of the family's 1533-position model. Lineage: Bacteria; Pseudomonadati; Pseudomonadota; Gammaproteobacteria; Enterobacterales; Enterobacteriaceae. The record is from RNAcentral.